AUUUAGAUUUCUCAAGAUCAUCGUUUUGUUGACCAUCUGGGAAGAAUUCAUCUGUGCCAUUGGCAAGCUGGUGAUCAGGACUUGAAAAGUAAUAUAAAAAGAUGGCUUCCACUUGCAUCUGACAAGAGAGGGCCCGAAACAAGCAAAAUCUUUAUAAGACCUGUCAGAGUCUUCUGCCCCGGGUUCCCCCACAAACCGGAGCCUGCCACACAAAGCCAGGCAUCCUCUGUCACGGAAUUGCGUGGAGAAGAACCCAAUUGCAGGCAGGUGGGAGUGAAGGGGUUAACAAAUGACUUUAUUCACAAAAACGUAAAACAAAAACCCACGGUGGGGAAAACAAGACACGAUAACAGGGGAAAUGAUAUAACAGGUAAACAGGAACAUAAACUGACUAAACUAAACUAACAAAGACUAAGCACAACACUAGACCAAAUACAAUAAACUAACACUAACUAGACUUACUGAAAGAACAAAUACAGGAACACGAGCAUUGACCACGAACUGGACAGCACAAGGCAUACAGCACACACACAUGCAAUACACGAGCACAGGACAAAGAAACAUGAGGGCAUUUAUAGGGAAGACAAACGAGGGAUAACGACACGGGGCAGGUGUGGGUAAUCAAACACUCAGGGAAAGAUAACAAGGAAACGAGAGAAGCGGGGCCAAUGACAAGACACUGGAGAGAACGUAUAUUAUUGUCAAAAGGACAAUACUAUGUUUCUCUCCACACAUAACCAAAGGCUUUGCCAUGACUCUGCUACAGGACCAAGAAAAAGAUGACUAAAUGAAGCAGAGCCAUGACAGAAGCCCCCCCUUUAAUGAGCACCUCCAGGUGAUCACCAAGGGGUAGACGGACGAGACAAAACCGACUGGGUGACAGACAGGACAAGGCAAAACAGAGAAAACAAAAUCAAGGGCAGACAUGACAACAUAAUAACAGGACU
Molecule: long non-coding RNA, 947 nt
Organism: Triplophysa rosa
Lineage: Eukaryota; Metazoa; Chordata; Actinopteri; Cypriniformes; Nemacheilidae
Exons: 3
Source: RefSeq, a predicted model, not a curated record